Molecule: long non-coding RNA, 503 nt
Organism: Prosopis cineraria
Lineage: Eukaryota; Viridiplantae; Streptophyta; Magnoliopsida; Fabales; Fabaceae
Exons: 3
Source: RefSeq, a predicted model, not a curated record
UCGAGAGUGAGAGACAGAUUGAGUGAGAGAGCACUGAUGAGCAAUUCCUGUCGUUCACUUCUCCACCGUGCUUUCCGUCGCCUACCUUGUCGCCAAUGACUGUGGAGUGGUUCCAGUUGCCAUUGCAAGGUCGACGCUCUGUCCGCUGUUCUGUCUCUUUUACUCUUGUGUACGUCGGUGGUGUGUGGGGAAGCCAAGUCAGGGAUUGGGGGUGCUCUCCAUCUCCUCCAUGUUCACACGGAUAGCUUCUCCUCUUCCUUACUUCUACUAUAGCUGAUGUGAGUGGAUGCUGAAAUGGAAGAGUAGAGGGGGUUUAAUCAAGCUGAAACAUGAGCCGAGCAUGUGUUGAUGGCAUAGUCGAUGAUUUACCUCCUGUUGAACUCUGAGGGGCUCAUUAUUGAAUUGAUGAGAAGACUUUUUAAAAAUACCUUCAUUUUGAUGUAAAUGUUUAAUUUGGUGUUAUAUUUUGAAAUUAUGAUUUGGUAUGUUUCACGUUAACUAUA